RNAcentral lists this ribosomal RNA (1155 nucleotides) under Triticum aestivum (bread wheat). RNAcentral's name for it is "partial small subunit ribosomal RNA". The record is from RNAcentral. Lineage: Eukaryota; Viridiplantae; Streptophyta; Magnoliopsida; Poales; Poaceae.
ACAAAGGAAGGAAGGGUCGUUCCGAGGGUAGGGUAGGAAAGUUGAUCCGCGGCGGUGUUGGAAACCGGAACGGGAGGUCGUCUAGCAGCUGCGCGUGUCCGGAGGCAGAAGAAGGGAAGAAAUAAGGAAGCAGGCGCCUCACGUUCGUCAUUAGCCACUAGACCAGGACGUCUACCGAAGGUAGCUUUGGUACGAAGUCUUUAUCGUGGCCGUCGGUGCAAGUUCGCGCAUGAGUCGCUAGACAGUACUCUCUAUCAUCUACGUCAGUUCAACGCCGCUACAAUCCGACCUGAGUGUUCUAACGCGACAGUACUCUCUAUCAUCUACGUAAGUUCAACCGCCGCUACAAUCCGACCUGAGUGUUCUAACGGCUUCCCGUCACGAACGUGGUCGCCUACGUGUUUAACGAUAGGUAUGUUUCCUCGGGUAGUUAAAGAUCCCGGAGUUCCUCAUACCGUGGGUUGGUGACUUAAGUAACUGAUGUGCUUUGUUCUGUACCUGGUAGUUUCAAUUUCAGAGUUUCAGAAUGCUGAAAUCCUGUGUUAAUUGAAUAGUUGAUUACUUGAGUAAUCGUGACUAUUCUAAAACACUCUAUUUUUCAAGGUUCAUAAUGUAUAUAUUACAGAGAAAUCAAAAGGAAAAGGCUUCGAACGAUUACAAGAGAGACACAUCCCUUUACGUUAGGUACGAAGAUAACCCUUGUUUGACAGUUAUUUAAAUUUCGUUUUUUAUUUCUCCUGAGGUAGAUGUAUUAAUUCUGGAACUUUCAAACUCUCAUACUUUUGAUGGCUGGUAACUUCUUGUUAUAGUUUUAUUCAAAAGGAAAAACUAUGUUGUCCCUACCUUCACCUAUUUCUUUUUAGUUUCAAAAACCUGAUUGUGAAGCUCAAAACGAAUAUCACUAUGGAACCUCUCAUCCCACUUAUGACUAUUUGUGACGAGUCCAUACUGGUCUGAGGUUAUGGUUUCUUGUUCGUAACUAGUUAAUCUAAAUAUUUGUACUAAACUAAUCAUGUUACCUUGGUUAUCUCGCCCAUGUUGUUUCCCUGCUCGUAAGAAGCUUGAAGUUUGUAGCCACUCUAACCUAAACAAUUAGAUUUGAUACCUUUUCACCACACCGAUAGUCACAUACAUACACACUUAAUUCGUACCGUC